This 485-nucleotide ribosomal RNA is filed under the name uncultured bacterium. RNAcentral's name for it is "partial 16S ribosomal RNA". It matches the Rfam family "Bacterial small subunit ribosomal RNA", at positions 28 to 523 of the family's 1533-position model. The record is from RNAcentral.
GACGAACGCUGGCGGCGUGCUUAACACAUGCAAGUCGAACGGUGAAAGCGGAGCUUGCUCCGCUGGAUCAGUGGCGAACGGGUGAGUAACACGUGGGCAACCUGCCCCUCACUUCGGGAUAACUCCGGGAAACCGGGGCUAAUACCGGAUAUGACCUCCUUGGGCAUCCUUGGAGGUGGAAAGUUUUUCGGUGCGGGAUGGGCCCGCGGCCUAUCAGCUUGUUGGUGAGGUAGUGGCUCACCAAGGCGACGACGGGUAGCCGGCCUGAGAGGGCGAACGACCACACGGGGACUGAGACACGGCCCAGACUCCUACGGGAGGCAGCAGUGGGGAAUAUUGCGCAAUGGGCGAAAGCCUGACGCAGCAACGCCGCGUGCGGGAUGACGGCCUUCGGGUUGUAAACCGCUUUCAGCAGGGAAGAAGCCGCAAGGUGACGGUACCUGCAGAAGAAGCACCGGCUAACUACGUGCCAGCAGCCGCCGUAA